RNAcentral lists this unclassified non-coding RNA (236 nucleotides) under Hevea brasiliensis (rubber tree). The record is from RNAcentral. Lineage: Eukaryota; Viridiplantae; Streptophyta; Magnoliopsida; Malpighiales; Euphorbiaceae.
CGGGCAAUCAGAUUGAGAGAGUCCUCAUACGUUGGCUCCCAGUACUUUGAUUUGGGAAUCCCUUUGUCAUAUGCUUUCUGAAAUUCACUUUGUGCCUGAAGGGCCAUAACACCAGAUCCAAACNNNNNNNNNNCUGAGACAGGUAAAGCAUCAAUGGCCUUAUACACAUAAUCUGGAACAGUGGCACGAUCACGUAAUUCCUUUGACAAGGCAUCAACCUGCUCUUUGCUUGGUAC